Molecule: ribosomal RNA, 445 nt
Filed under: uncultured bacterium
Lineage: Bacteria
Description: SSU rRNA
Rfam family: Bacterial small subunit ribosomal RNA
Source: RNAcentral
AGAACGAACGCUGGCGGCAUGCCUAACACAUGCAAGUCGAACGCCUGUAGCAAUACAGGAGUGGCGCACGGGUGAGUAACGCGUGGGAACCUACCCUGGAGUGGGGGAUAACCGAGAGAAAUUUCGGCUAAUACCGCAUACGACCUGAGGGUGAAAGAUUUAUCGCUCUAGGAGGGGCCCGCGUCGGAUUAGCUAGUUGGUGGGGUAACGGCCCACCAAGGCGAUGAUCCGUAGCUGGUCUGAGAGGAUGAUCAGCCACACUGGGACUGAGACACGGCCCAGACUCCUACGGGAGGCAGCAGUGGGGAAUAUUGGACAAUGGGCGCAAGCCUGAUCCAGCCAUGCCGCGUGGGUGAUGAAGGCCCUAGGGUUGUAAAGCCCUUUCGGCGGGAAGAUAAUGACGGUACCGCAGAAGAAGCCCCGGCUAACUCGUGCCAGUAGCCGC